RNAcentral lists this ribosomal RNA (423 nucleotides) under uncultured bacterium. Its description in RNAcentral is "bacterial SSU rRNA". It matches the Rfam family "Bacterial small subunit ribosomal RNA", at positions 358 to 773 of the family's 1533-position model. The record is from RNAcentral.
GGAAUAUUGCGCAAUGGACGAAAGUCUGACGCAGCGACGCCGCGUGGAGGAUGAAGGUUUUCGGAUCGUAAACUCCUGUUAAGUGGGAAGAAAACUCUAUCUCUAAUAUAGGUAGAGUCUGACGGUACCACUAGAGAAAGCACCGGCUAACUUCGUGCCAGCAGCCGCGGUAAUACGAGGGGUGCAAACGUUAUUCGGAUUAACUGGGCGUAAAGGGUGUGUAGACGGUAUAUUAAGUUCGUUGUUAAAUCUUCUGGCCUAACCGGAAGCUUGCGAUGGAAACUGAUAUACUUGAGGAUGGAAGAGAGAAGUGGAAUUCUCGGAGUAGCGGUAAAAUGCGUAGAUCUCGAGAGGAACACCGAUGGCGAAGGCAGCUUCUUGGUCCACUCCUGACGUUGAGACACGAAAGCGUGGGUAGCAAAC